This 367-nucleotide long non-coding RNA is filed under the name Bemisia tabaci. Its description in RNAcentral is "lncRNA ENSSSA1UGG002508". Lineage: Eukaryota; Metazoa; Arthropoda; Insecta; Hemiptera; Aleyrodidae. The record is from RNAcentral.
GUCGUUUUUCCCCUUUUAUGCAGUUCGUAUGCUAGCUUUAAUCUCAAGUAAAAGACUAUGGCAUUAAUUACCGCUGACGUUUUAUCUAAGGUCUAAUACAGCAAGGAUUGUAUGCCAAGCACUCAUCGAACUCGGCUCAAUGAGGUUUGUCCCCACCAAAGUAUCCAAUGCAUAUACUACAAGUGAUUACAAUUGAUCGACCAAGCCUUAUUGAUUGAAAAGCGGCAUGAUGCACAAAUUUCUCCUGUCUAAACUUCGAAACACAUCGAACAACAAACAGGGUUCCUAUCAACUUUUCAGCCGGUACUCCGCACCUUCAGCUUGAUGAUUUUAAUGUUCGAUAACGGCUACGUCAGCAAUCUCACGU